UGGGGAAUAUUGGACAAUGGGGGCAACCCUGAUCCAGCACUGCCGCGUGAGUGAUGAAGGCCUUAGGGUUGUAAAGCUCUUUCGGCAGGGACGAUGAUGACGGUACCCGCAGAAGAAGCCCCGGCUAACUUCGUGCCAGCAGCCGCGGUAAUACGAAGGGGGCGAGCGUUGUUCGGAAUUACUGGGCGUAAAGGGCGCGUAGGCGGCCCUGGAAGUCAGAUGUGAAAGCCCCGGGCUCAACCUGGGAAUAGCAUUUGAUACUCUGGGGCUGGAGUUCGGGAGAGGAGAGUGGAAUUCCCAGUGUAGAGGUGAAAUUCGUAGAUAUUGGGAAGAACACCGGUGGCGAAGGCGGCUCUCUGGACCGAAACUGACGCUGAGGCGCGAAAGCGUGGGGAGCAAACAGGAUUAGAUACCCUGGUAGUCCACGCCGUAAACGAUGUGUGCUAGACGUUGGGGAGCCUAGCUUUUCAGUGUCGCAGCUAACGCUUUAAGCACACCGCCUGGGGAGUACGGCCGCAAGGUUAAAAC
This 528-nucleotide ribosomal RNA is filed under the name uncultured bacterium. RNAcentral describes it as "bacterial SSU rRNA". It matches the Rfam family "Bacterial small subunit ribosomal RNA", at positions 355 to 900 of the family's 1533-position model. The record is from RNAcentral.